GACGAACGCUGGCGGCGUGCUUAACACAUGCAAGUCGAACGAAGUGGCGAACGGGUGAGUAACGCGUAAUAAACGUGCCCUUCAGAGGGGGACAACAGUUGGAAACGACUGCUAAUACCGCAUACUGAAGGGGGGGAGUGCGUCUGCUUAGCUAGUGGGCGGGGUAACGGACCACAAAGGCGAUGAUCAGUAGCCGGUCUGAGAGGAGGAACUGCCACAUUGGGACUGAGAAACGGCCCAGACUCCUACGGGAGGCAGCAGUGGGGAAUCUGCCGCAAUGGACGAAAGUCUGACGGAGCAACGCCGCGUGAGUGAUGACGGCCUUCGGGUUGUAAAGCUCUGUUAAUCGGGACGCGGUACCGGAAUAGAAAGCCACGGCUAACUCCGUGCCAGCAGCCGCGGUAAUAC
This 408-nucleotide ribosomal RNA is filed under the name uncultured bacterium. Its description in RNAcentral is "partial 16S ribosomal RNA". It matches the Rfam family "Bacterial small subunit ribosomal RNA", at positions 28 to 526 of the family's 1533-position model. The record is from RNAcentral.